RNAcentral lists this transfer RNA (126 nucleotides) under Desulfosalsimonas propionicica. Its description in RNAcentral is "tRNA-OTHER". The record is from RNAcentral. Lineage: Bacteria; Pseudomonadati; Thermodesulfobacteriota; Desulfobacteria; Desulfobacterales; Desulfosalsimonadaceae.
GGAAAAGGUCCGGCGGGUUGACUUUACAAACAAAAUGCAAACAAACAAUACGGGCGAUAAAAAUGAAUAAUAAUUUCAGAAACUAAAAUACGGUGGGUGUGGGUUCGAAUCCCACCCUCUCCGCCA